CCUACGGGAGGCAGCAGUGAGGAAUAUUGGUCAAUGGGCGGGAGCCUGAACCAGCCAAGUAGCGUGAGGGAAGACGGUCCUAUGGAUUGUAAACCUCUUUAGGCGGGGAGCAAUGACGGGCACGCGUGCCCGGAGGGAGAGUACCCGCAGAAUAAGCAUCGGCUAACUCCGUGCCAGCAGACGCGGUAAUAUGGGGGAUGCGAGCGUUCUCCGGAUUUAUUGGGGUGAAAGGGUGCGUAGGCGGAUUUUUAAGCCAGCGGUAAGAUGUCCGGGCUCAACCCGGGCCGGCCGUUGAAACUGGGGAUCUUGAGUGGGCGUGAAGUAUGCGGAAUGCGUGGUGUAGCGGUGAAAUGCAU
RNAcentral lists this ribosomal RNA (356 nucleotides) under uncultured bacterium. RNAcentral describes it as "partial 16S ribosomal RNA". It matches the Rfam family "Bacterial small subunit ribosomal RNA", at positions 338 to 691 of the family's 1533-position model. The record is from RNAcentral.